RNAcentral lists this long non-coding RNA (389 nucleotides) under Struthio camelus australis. RNAcentral's name for it is "lncRNA (ENSSCUG00000003892.1)". The record is from RNAcentral. Lineage: Eukaryota; Metazoa; Chordata; Aves; Struthioniformes; Struthionidae.
CCCGCCCCCCGCCGAGCGGCGUGCAAAACCGGCGCGGCCGGGCCGGAGCCGAGCUGGGCUUCGAAACUCCCCAUCCGCUUGCAUCAAACAGGUCCCCGUCUGGCCGGAGCAAACAAGCAGCCUGUUGUACGAGCCUCGGGGGACGCGGCGAGCAGCUACCACUCUCCCGCGCCGACGUCCAUCGGGCAAAAGGGUCAUCUGAGCGGUUGGCGACAAAGACAUAACGGAGCUGUGGCAAACCGAAGCUGCGGCUCGGAAACGGUGUUUGGACUUGUCUGGAAUCAGAUGAUUUAAAAGAAAAAAAAGCUUCCCUGUAUCUCUAUGUGGAUUUCAAUUUAAAGAGAAGGGCAGUAAGAGCGUGAUGAAGCCGGAGCAGCUGGGAGGGAGCC